AAGUCGAACGGCAGCAUGAUCUAGCUUGCUAGAUUGAUGGCGAAGUGGCGAACGGGUGAGUAAUACAUCGGAACGUGCCCUGUAGUGGGGGAUAACUAGUCGAAAGAUUAGCUAAUACCGCAUACGACCUGAGGGUGAAAGUGGGGGACCGCAAGGCCUCAUGCUAUAGGAGCGGCCGAUGUCUGAUUAGCUAGUUGGUGAGGUAAAGGCUCACCAAGGCGACGAUCAGUAGCUGGUCUGAGAGGACGAUCAGCCACACUGGGACUGAGACACGGCCCCAGACUCCUACGGGAGGCAGCAGUGGGGAAUUUUGGACAAUGGGCGAAAGCCUGAUCCAGCAAUGCCGCGUGUGUGAAGAAGGCCUUCGGGUUGUAAAGCACUUUUGUCCGGAAAGAAAUGGCCCUGGUUAAUACCUGGGGUCGAUGACGGUACCGGAAGAAUAAGGACCGGCUAACUACGUGCCAGCAGCCGCGGUAAUACGUAGGGUCCAAGCGUUAAUCGGAAUUACUGGGCGUAAAGCGUGCGCAGGCGGUUGUGCAAGACCGAUGUGAAAUCCCCGGGCUUAACCUGGGAAUUGCAUUGGUGACUGCACGGCUAGAGUGUGUCAGAGGGGGGUAGAAUUCCACGUGUAGCAGUGAAAUGCGUAGAGAUGUGGAGGAAUACCGAUGGCGAAGGCAGCCCCCUGGGAUAACACUGACGCUCAUGCACGAAAGCGUGGGGAGCAAACAGGAUUAGAUACCCUGGUAGUCCACGCCCUAAACGAUGUCAACUAGUUGUUGGGGAUUCAUUUCCUUAGUAACGUAGCUAACGCGUGAAGUUGACCGCCUGGGGAGUACGGUCGCAAGAUUAAAACUCAAAGGAAUUGACGGGGACCCGCACAAGCGGUGGAUGAUGUGGAUUAAUUCGAUGCAACGCGAAAAACCUUACCUACCCUUGACAUGCCACUAACGAAGCAGAGAUGCAUUAGGUGCUCGAAAGAGAAAGUGGACACAGGUGCUGCAUGGCUGUCGUCAGCUCGUGUCGUGAGAUGUUGGGUUAAGUCCCGCAACGAGCGCAACCCUUGUCUCUAGUUGCUACGAAAGGGCACUCUAGAGAGACUGCCGGUGACAAACCGGAGGAAGGUGGGGAUGACGUCAAGUCCUCAUGGCCCUUAUGGGUAGGGCUUCACACGUCAUACAAUGGUGCAUACAGAGGGUUGCCAAGCCGCGAGGUGGAGCUAAUCCCAGAAAAUGCAUCGUAGUCCGGAUCGUAGUCUGCAACUCGACUACGUGAAGCUGGAAUCGCUAGUAAUCGCGGAUCAGCAUGCCGCGGUGAAUACGUUCCCGGGUCUUGUACACACCGCCCGUCACACCAUGGGAGUGGGCUUUACCAGAAGUAGUUAGCCUAACCGCAAGGAGGGCGA
Molecule: ribosomal RNA, 1402 nt
Filed under: Ralstonia sp. UYSB01
Lineage: Bacteria; Pseudomonadati; Pseudomonadota; Betaproteobacteria; Burkholderiales; Burkholderiaceae
Description: bacterial SSU rRNA
Rfam family: Bacterial small subunit ribosomal RNA
Source: RNAcentral